RNAcentral lists this ribosomal RNA (492 nucleotides) under uncultured bacterium. RNAcentral's name for it is "partial 16S ribosomal RNA". It matches the Rfam family "Bacterial small subunit ribosomal RNA", at positions 29 to 507 of the family's 1533-position model. The record is from RNAcentral.
AGUGAACGCUGGCGGUAGGCCUAACACAUGCAAGUCGAACGGCAGCACAGUAAGAGCUUGCUCUUACGGGUGGCGAGUGGCGGACGGGUGAGGAAUACAUCGGAAUCUACUUUUUCGUGGGGGAUAACGUAGGGAAACUUACGCUAAUACCGCAUACGACCUACGGGUGAAAGCAGGGGAUCUUCGGACCUUGCGCGAUUGAAUGAGCCGAUGUCGGAUUAGCUAGUUGGCGGGGUAAAGGCCCACCAAGGCGACAAUCCGUAGCUGGUCUGAGAGGAUGAUCAGCCACACUGGAACUGAGACACGGUCCAGACUCCUACGGGAGGCAGCAGUGGGGAAUAUUGGGCAAUGGGCGCAAGCCUGAUCCAGCCAUACCGCGUGGGUGAAGAAGGCCUUCGGGUUGUAAAGCCCUUUUGUUGGGAAAGAAAAGCAGCAGGUUAAUACCCCGCUGUUCUGACGGUACCCAAAGAAUAAGCACCGGCUAACUUCGUG